Vombatus ursinus (common wombat) is the source of this 750-nucleotide long non-coding RNA. RefSeq lists it as uncharacterized. The record is from RefSeq and is a predicted model, not a curated record. The transcript has 3 exons. Lineage: Eukaryota; Metazoa; Chordata; Mammalia; Diprotodontia; Vombatidae.
GUAUGAGCAGGCUGCCACAUAUACUCAACAGGUAACUCCAUAGAAGAGUAAACCAAGGCCCCAAGGAGCCAGAUCACCAAAGAGAUGAUGAGCUGGUCCCAUGGAAGCUAGUGCAUGACCUUUCUGUUCAGGUAGUCACUCCACAAUAUCAGGAGAAAGCAAGGAAGACCCCCAGCAUGAUGGCUGAUCAUCACUGAUGAAAUCCAAAGAGAAAGUGACCAAGAAACCCACAGCACGAGUCUGCACGGCCCAUGCUGUCAUCUGUACCGUCAGAGGGUGCAUUCAUUUGAUACUCAUGUUAUGCUGGGAGACCUACUGAGAUAGAGGAACAUCCCUACUAUGGAGGAGCAGCCCCUGAUGGAGUUCCUGGGAGAGUGAGAGUCACACAUGGUGAAAAGGCUCGGAUGCAGCAUGACCACCAUUGAAGUGAGGGGCCAAACCAAUCGAGGCUUGGAAACGAUGGGGAUGGUUACCUCUUGGGAAAUGGCUGAACAAAUGAUGGAUGAAUGGAAUGGAAAAUCAUUGCGCCCAAAGAAAUAACGAAAGAGAAAGCUUCACAGAAAACUGCGGAGACACGUUGGAGGUAAUCCAGAGUGAGGUGAGCCCCACCAAGAGAACAGGUCACACAAGGAGGAAAGCACUUCAGAGAAAACCACCUUGGCAGCACCGCAAACGGCCCAGGGCAAGGAGCAGUUGUGAGGCUGACGCCGCAGCACCGGCGACUAGCAUCCGCGUGUCCGCCGUGCUCAC